Molecule: unclassified non-coding RNA, 248 nt
Filed under: Basidiomycota sp.
Lineage: Eukaryota; Fungi; Basidiomycota
Description: partial contains small subunit ribosomal RNA, internal transcribed spacer 1, and 5.8S ribosomal RNA
Rfam family: Eukaryotic small subunit ribosomal RNA (bases 1-47)
Source: RNAcentral
AAAGUCGUAACAAGGUUUCCGUAGGUGAACCUGCGGAAGGAUCAUUACCGAAUGACCUGCACCUCUCUGCGUGUGGGUGCUCAUUGGCGCCUCUUGAUCUUGAUCUUGGUGCUCAUCACACCACGCCACAAAGCGGUGGGAUUGGGUGCCCCGUUCAAGAUGUCCUAUGCUACACACAAAACCUGUCAUCGUAUGGCGUUGAACAUAAACAUAUAGUAUAACUUUCAACAACGGAUCUCUUGGCUCUC